RNAcentral lists this unclassified non-coding RNA (287 nucleotides) under Hevea brasiliensis (rubber tree). The record is from RNAcentral. Lineage: Eukaryota; Viridiplantae; Streptophyta; Magnoliopsida; Malpighiales; Euphorbiaceae.
CUCUUCCAUUGUCACUACAAGGGUUUUGACUUGGAUGGUUUAGACGUCAUUGUUAGUGAUAGAGUUCAUGAUAUAGAUAUAGGUGCCCAGAUUUGGAUCAUAAUGCGGUGAUCGAUGGUUUGUAGCAUAAAAGUUUGCAACUCAGCAUGACCUUUAUGGUGAGUUUUCUGAAGUAGUAGCACGUUAGGUUUGGUCUAACCUUGCAAGCAAUCACAGAACUAGGAAUUAUUUUUAGGGGGGCCAGAAUAAAAUUUAAUAUGUAAUUGUACUUAAAUUUUUUUUUUUUU